RNAcentral lists this ribosomal RNA (513 nucleotides) under Paralomis formosa. Its description in RNAcentral is "eukaryotic LSU rRNA". The stretch from base 117 to 513 matches the Rfam family "Eukaryotic large subunit ribosomal RNA", at positions 675 to 1056 of the family's 3401-position model. Lineage: Eukaryota; Metazoa; Arthropoda; Malacostraca; Decapoda; Lithodidae. The record is from RNAcentral.
GUAAGGAACCCUUCCCCUGGGGCUGAUCCCUGGCCGACAGUCGACCGUGGGGUGCCAGAGGGGGGCAGGAUCUCGGUGAGUCAUUUUCCCGGUUCUUUGUCAACCUUUGGCUUACUCCUGCGUGUUGGCAGUGGCCCACGCCCACAAUGGGGGGGCGCAAGCCCGGGACUUGCCACCAGUGCACCUCUCGGCGUCCGCGACUGGCCUCUCGGGGCCUUUCCGCGUGGGCUGAGUUGGUAGCCGGCAAGUACCUUGAGCAGACAUGUUGGGACCCGAAAGAUGGUGAACUAUGCUUGGCCAGGACGAAGCCAGAGGAAACUCUGGUGGAGGUCCGCCGCGAUUCUGACGUGCAAAUCGAUCGUCGGAGCUGAGUAUAGGGGCGAAAGACUAAUCGAACCAUCUAGUAGCUGGUUCCCUCCGAAGUUUCCCUCAGGAUAGCUGGUACUCGAGGGUAAUUUCAUCCGGUAAAGCGAAUGAUUAGAGGUCUUGGGGACGAAACGUCCUCAACCUAUU